GACGAACGCUGGCGGCGUGCUUAACACAUGCAAGUCGAACGGUAAGGCCCUUCGGGGUACACGAGUGGCGAACGGGUGAGUAACACGUGGGUGAUCUGCCCUGCACUUCGGGAUAAGCCUGGGAAACUGGGUCUAAUACCGGAUAGGACUCCGGACUGCAUGGUCUGGGGUGGAAAGCUUUUGCGGUGUGGGAUGGGCGCGCGGCCUAUCAGCUUGUUGGUGGGGUGAUGGCCUACCAAGGCGACGCAGGGUAGCCGGCCUGGGAGGGUGACCGGCCACACUGGGACUGGGGUACGGCCCAGACUCCUACGGGAGGCAGCAGUGGGGAAUAUUGCACAAUGGGCGCAAGCCUGAUGCAGCGACGCCGCGUGAGGGAUGACGGCCUUCGGGUUGUAAACCUCUUUCAGCAUCGACGAAGCGAAAGUGACGGUAGGUGCAGAAGAAGGACCGGCCAACUACGUGCCAGCAGCCGCGGUAA
RNAcentral lists this ribosomal RNA (478 nucleotides) under uncultured bacterium. RNAcentral describes it as "partial 16S ribosomal RNA". It matches the Rfam family "Bacterial small subunit ribosomal RNA", at positions 28 to 523 of the family's 1533-position model. The record is from RNAcentral.